Molecule: ribosomal RNA, 253 nt
Filed under: uncultured bacterium
Lineage: Bacteria
Description: partial 16S ribosomal RNA
Rfam family: Bacterial small subunit ribosomal RNA
Source: RNAcentral
UACAGAGGUCUCAAGCGUUGUUCGGAUUCAUUGGGCGUAAAGGGUGUGUAGGUGGCGCGCUAAGUCGGGUGUGAAAUUUCGGAGCUUAACUCCGAAACUGCAUUCGAUACUGGCGUGCUUGAGGACUGGAGAGGAGACUGGAAUUCAUGGUGUAGCAGUGAAAUGCGUAGAGAUCAUGAGGAAGACCAGUGGCGAAGGCGGGUCUCUGGACAGCUCCUGACACUGAGACACGAAGGCCAGGGGAGCAAACGGG